GGUCAGAGAGAUCAAGCUGCUUCUCAUACUUGGCCCAGGAUACGGGCUGCGUCUAGGACUGUUGCGGUGUUACCACCAUAUUACCGCCACACUGGUAGUCAUGAGUCAUAACCGCAGUGAAAUUCCAAUUACAUUUACAUUUAAGUCAUUUAGCAGACGCUCUUAUCCAGAGCGACUUACAAUUGACAGUUGAUUCACGGUAAUCUCCUUUUAUGCACUGUGGACAUGCUUUGGUAGUACCUAACCUGCUAACUACCAUCAGGUGCUAAUGGCCUGGUACUCAGGGCUAUAUUGCUACAAUCAGGCCUGGUACUCAGGGCUAUAUUGCUACAAUUGCUACAAUCAGGUCCUAAUGGCCUAGUACUCAGGACUAUAUUGCUACCAUCAGGUCCUAAUGGCCUAGUACUCACGACUAUACUGCUACCAUCAGGUCCUAAUGGCCUGGUACUCAGGGCUAUAUUGCUACAAUGAGGUCCUAAUGACCUGGUACUCAGGGCUAUAUUGCUACAAUGAGGUCCUAAUGACCUUGUAUUCAGGGUUAUAUUGCUACCAUCAGGUCCUAAUGACCUGGUACUCAGGGCUAUAUUGUGUCUCCAUCAGGUCCUAAUGGCCUAUUACUCAGGGCUCUAUUGUUUCUCCAUUAGGUCCUAAUGGCCUGGUACUCAGGGUUCUAUUGUCCCUCCAUCAGGUCCUAAUGGCCUGUUACUCAGGGUUCUAUUGUCCCUCCAUCAGGUCCUAAUGGCCUGGUACUCAGGGCUCUAUUGUCCCUCCAUCAGGUCCUAAUGGCCUGGUACUCAGGGCUCUAUUGUCCCUCCAUCAGGUCCUAAUGGCCUGGUACUCAGGGC
RNAcentral lists this long non-coding RNA (845 nucleotides) under Salmo salar (Atlantic salmon). RNAcentral's name for it is "lncRNA (ENSSSAG00000096106.1)". Lineage: Eukaryota; Metazoa; Chordata; Actinopteri; Salmoniformes; Salmonidae. The record is from RNAcentral.